AGUUCGAUAUAAAAGUUUUGGACGAAAAUGAAAACGUGUCAAUUUGUCAUUUUCACGAGGUUGGGGUAAUACCAUGUUCAACUACUUAAGACAUUUGCUCAAAUCUCGGUUUUGCCUUUAGUUUUUGAGAAAAUUAACAACUAAGGAAUAAUUUGUGACUUCUUUCAUACCCCAAACCACGACCUUCGCAAGCGUUUCUGGCAGUCUCGUGAUGUUGCGGCUUUGGGUUUAGAAACUGGAUAAUGUAGCUAGUUUUUUCCAACAACGGUUUCAAAAGGCCAGUAAUUUACAAUAUCUGGCUUAAAAUUACAACGUUCUUGUUAUUAUAACCAAUUUUUUAUUUUAUGUUUGUAAUUUAGUAAGUGCAGCAGCUGCCGCCUCAGUCUGUGACUAAGAGCGUCGUCAAUGGACGACUGCAAAUUCAUUAGGAUUAUAAAUUCUUCUGACGAGGAUGCGCACACACCCCUAGGAUGACAAGGAUUUGAAGACAUGUUUCUCAAAGAUGGAAUGGACUGGUCUAGUGAAAUGUGAAAGUGUGCACUACAGAAACUUGAAGAGGAACCACCUGGCUAUAGGGCUAAACUCCCCAGUACCUGCUUUUAUGAGGAGAGGCAGAUUUGAACUGGUGAACAAUGCUCCGCUUCUCGCACCCAGUAACUUCAAGGAGGAUGAGUGGACGCCUCGCCUGGAGAGAUAAGAAAAAGAAGCUUUCGGAAUGAAAGGGGAGGCUCUGACAAGAUUUAAAGAAGAGGAGGACGUUACAGUGAAAGAAGGGGAGGAAGAGAUGACUGUCACAGUGAAAGAAGAGGAGGACGUUACAGUGAAAGAAGGGGAGGAAGAGAUGACUGUCACAGUGAAAGAAGAGGACGUUACAGUGAAAGAA
Long non-coding RNA from Oncorhynchus gorbuscha (pink salmon), 883 nucleotides. RefSeq lists it as uncharacterized. The transcript is spliced from 3 exons. NCBI's taxonomy places the organism in Eukaryota, Metazoa, Chordata, Actinopteri, Salmoniformes, Salmonidae. The record is from RefSeq and is a predicted model, not a curated record.